CCUACGGGUGGCAGCAGUGGGGAAUAUUGCACAAUGGGGGAAACCCUGAUGCAGCGACGCCGCGUGAGUGAAGAAGUAAUUCGGUAUGUAAAGCUCUAUCAGCAGGGAAGAAAAUGACGGUACCUGAUUAAGAAGCCCCGGCUAACUACGUGCCAGCAGCCGCGGUAAUACGUAGGGGGCAAGCGUUAUCCGGCUUUACUGGGUGGAAAGGGAGCGUAGACGGCAGUGCAAGACUGGAGUGAAAGGCGGGGGCUCAACCCCCGGACUGCUCUGGAAACUGUACGGCUGGAGUGCUGGAGAGGCAAGUGGAAUUCCUAGUGUAGCGGUGAAAUGCGUAGAUAUUAGGAGGAACACCAGUGGCGAAGGCGGUUUACUGGACUGUAACUGACGUUGAGGCUCGAAAGCGUGGGGAGCAAACAGGAUUAGAUACCCCAGUAGUC
This 440-nucleotide ribosomal RNA is filed under the name uncultured bacterium. Its description in RNAcentral is "partial 16S ribosomal RNA". It matches the Rfam family "Bacterial small subunit ribosomal RNA", at positions 338 to 795 of the family's 1533-position model. The record is from RNAcentral.